UGGGGAAUCUUGGACAAUGGGCGCAAGCCUGAUCCAGCAAUGCCGCGUGUGUGAAGAAGGCCUUCGGGUUGUAAAGCACUUUUAUCAGGAACGAAAAGCGUGGGGUUAAUACCUUUACGUGCUGACGGUACCUGAGGAAUAAGCACCGGCUAACUACGUGCCAGCAGCCGCGGUAAUACGUAGGGUGCGAGCGUUAAUCGGAAUUACUGGGCGUAAAGCGUGCGCAGGCGGCGACAUAAGACAGAUGUGAAAUCCCCGGGCUCAACCUGGGAACUGCGUUUGUGACUGUGUUGCUAGAGUGUAGCAGAGGGGGGUGGAAUUCCACGUGUAGCAGUGAAAUGCGUAGAGAUGUGGAGGAACACCGAUGGCGAAGGCAGCCCCCUGGGUUAACACUGACGCUCAUGCACGAAAGCGUGGGGAGCAAACAGGAUUAGAUACCCUGUAGUCCCUGAGCGGGCUGGCAAGGCGCAU
This 471-nucleotide ribosomal RNA is filed under the name uncultured bacterium. RNAcentral describes it as "bacterial SSU rRNA". It matches the Rfam family "Bacterial small subunit ribosomal RNA", at positions 355 to 825 of the family's 1533-position model. The record is from RNAcentral.